GAUUAACGCUGGCGGCGUGCCUAACACAUGCAAGUCGAGCGGCAGCGAGUUUUACACUGAAUUCUGGAAGCUUCUAGUUGAAAGAGAAGAUUUAUUCAAGAAUUUUGUGUAAAAUGUCGGCGAGCGGCGGACGGCUGAGUAACGCGUGGGAACGUACCCCAAAGUGAGGGAUAACGCAUCGAAAGGUGUGCUAAUACCGCAUAUGGUCUUCGGAUUAAAGCCUUCGGGCGCUUUGGGAACGGCCUGCGUAAGAUUAGAUAGUUGGUGGGGUAAUGGCCUACCAAGUCGACGAUCUUUAACUGGUUUGAGAGGAUGAUCAGUCAGACUGGAACUGAGACACGGUCCAGACUCCUACGGGAGGCAGCAGUGAGGAAUCUUACACAAUGGGCGAAAGCCUGAUGGAGCAACGCCGCGUGCAGGAUGAAGGCCUUCGGGUUGUAAACUGCUUUUAUAAGUGAGGAUUAUGACAGUAACUUAUGAAUAAGAAUCGGCUAACUACGUG
Molecule: ribosomal RNA, 502 nt
Filed under: uncultured bacterium
Lineage: Bacteria
Description: partial 16S ribosomal RNA
Rfam family: Bacterial small subunit ribosomal RNA
Source: RNAcentral